CGAGCGAAGCGAGAGAACGUUGCCGCAGGCAACGGCCCGAAGGGCGAGGCGCUUUAGCGCCGAGUAAUCCUUCCCCCACCACCA
Molecule: small RNA, 84 nt
Filed under: Klebsiella pneumoniae
Lineage: Bacteria; Pseudomonadati; Pseudomonadota; Gammaproteobacteria; Enterobacterales; Enterobacteriaceae
Description: partial RtT sRNA
Rfam family: RtT RNA
About the family: This family represents a bacterial cis-regulatory element known as RtT RNA. The exact function of RtT is unknown although it is thought that it may be involved in changing the cellular response in relation to amino acid starvation.
Source: RNAcentral